This is a long non-coding RNA of Vanessa tameamea, 246 nucleotides long. RefSeq lists it as uncharacterized. The record is from RefSeq and is a predicted model, not a curated record. Lineage: Eukaryota; Metazoa; Arthropoda; Insecta; Lepidoptera; Nymphalidae. The transcript is spliced from 3 exons.
GAUUACCACGGGUUGCUGCGCAGACUACCGCAGCAGGUGGCAUGUAACAUAUCUACGUGACCCUGGCUGAUUGACUUUAAAUGUUAAGAGAACAAAGCCAUGAUGGAAUUUGGAAAUCUUCACAGUCGUGAUGUCUGUCCAGUGAAAACAUUAAGUUUUGAAGGAAAGCUUCACUUCACUGCGAGACUGCCGAUAGUGAUGUUGAGUUAAGUUAUAAGUUAAAUUAAAUGAUUAGGUAACGUCACC